UUGGUCCGUCGUAAGCACCGCCUCCCAGCGUGACCUAACCACGGCGCAAGUGCCGGAAGGCCCUGGAAGGGCGUGCGCGGCCACGUGAUUGGACGGAUGCGUGUAGCCCCGCCUUUUUCUCUGCGUUUUGCGUGUAAGGGUUGUAUGGGCUGGUGAUCCGAUGUGUGACUUGGGUCCGGCGUUUCAGCGCUGGUCAAAAAGUACCUCUUCAGUAGGACGAUCAUAAGAAUGGAAGGACAUGUUUUCAGGAAGAAAGAGAGAGAGGUACUGUGUGCCGUGAAUCCCAAAGAAAAUAAGCUUGGGGAGGGGAGCCGGCUGGAAUGACCCGUUUCAGUCGCCUCUCGCGGCGGGCGUUGUUGCUCGGUCUUGGUCGUCUGGCACGGCUGUUAGCACGCAAAGAAGAGGGAGAGGCCUUGUUUAAACCUGUUGCCCCUCCAGCUCCUACACGCACAGCUGGGCGGGGAGGAUGUGUGUGUAUAGUGGACCCACAUGAAUGCCUUGAUUGCACUGGAAUAAAGGAUUCUGGUGAUCUCCUGAGUACAAUAAUUGUGAACAGAAAGGCAUUGGUCAUGAUCUCAGGGUCCUGGGAUCCAGCCCGGCAUUGGCAUCAUCAGACCCUCUGCUCAGCAGGGAGCCUGCUUCCUCCCUUCUCUCUCUACCUGCCUCUCUGCCUACUUGUCAUCUCUCUCUCUCUGUGUCAAAUAAAGAAAUAAAAUCUUUAAAAAAAAAAAAAGUAAGAAAGAAAAUGAGGUCCCCCUUUUAAUGUGCACUAUUUUCGUGAGUGCCUGUGUGUCAGUUACAAUUUGGACAGGAGGCAGGUGGUACACUCUUA
Molecule: long non-coding RNA, 832 nt
Organism: Mustela lutreola (European mink)
Lineage: Eukaryota; Metazoa; Chordata; Mammalia; Carnivora; Mustelidae
Exons: 3
Source: RefSeq, a predicted model, not a curated record